This 492-nucleotide ribosomal RNA is filed under the name uncultured bacterium. Its description in RNAcentral is "partial 16S ribosomal RNA". It matches the Rfam family "Bacterial small subunit ribosomal RNA", at positions 29 to 507 of the family's 1533-position model. The record is from RNAcentral.
AGUGAACGCUGGCGGUAGGCCUAACACAUGCAAGUCGAACGGCAGCACAGUAAGAGCUUGCUCUUACGGGUGGCGAGUGGCGGACGGGUGAGGAAUACAUCGGAAUCUACUUUUUCGUGGGGGAUAACGUAGGGAAACUUACGCUAAUACCGCAUACGACCUCCGGUUGAAAGAAGGGGACCUUCGAACCUUGCCCAAUUGAUUAAGCCGAUGUCGGAUUAGCUAGUUGGCGGGGUAAAGGCCCACCAAGGCGACGAUCCGUAGCUGGUCUGAGAGGAUGAUCAGCCACACUGGAACUGAGACACGGUCCAGACUCCUACGGGAGGCAGCAGUGGGGAAUAUUGGACAAUGGGCGCAAGCCUGAUCCAGCCAUACCGCGUGGGUGAAGAAGGCCUUCGGGUUGUAAAGCCCUUUUGUUGGGAAAGAAAAGCAGCAGGUUAAUACCCCGCUGUUCUGACGGUACCCAAAGAAUAAGCACCGGCUAACUUCGUG